Molecule: small RNA, 134 nt
Filed under: Pedobacter terrae
Lineage: Bacteria; Pseudomonadati; Bacteroidota; Sphingobacteriia; Sphingobacteriales; Sphingobacteriaceae
Description: Flavo-1 RNA
Rfam family: Flavo-1 RNA
Source: RNAcentral
AUAUAAACCUGAUUGCAGUGGAAAUACUUUUUGUUCAUCUAUAGAAUUAGAUUGCCGCUUUUUUCCUGCCCGCAAUGACCGAAUUUGAACGAAGCACAAUGACAAAAAGAUUGCAACGAAAAGCAGGAUUGCAG